CGGGCGGGCGAGUCUCCGGGGGCGGGGAAAACGCCCUCUCGGCUGGCGCCCGGCGGGGCUCCGGGGCUCCGGGGCUCCGGGGCUCCUCUCCCGCCGCCCGGCUCCCCUCGGCCCACGGCAGGGCCCCGGUGUCCUGGGCUGGCAGCGAAGCUCGGAGCUCUGGGCGUGCGGCGGCUGCGGUGGCUCCUGGGCUCCUCCGUCCAACCCGGGCCGCGGAGCCUCUACGCGCACCCCAUCCCCCUCCCGGCUGCGGAGUCUGGCGGCGGCGGGGACUGCUCGGGACCCGGACCCCCGGCGCCUUUCGUCCCCUGUCCCCAUUGUGACCUGUCUCUUGGCCCCGGAGCCCUCCCGCCCCACCCGCGCCGGGGUCUCCAGCGCGAAGGGCUCAGUCUCUGGUGUCCCCGGCCUGGGGCUGGCAAGCUGGGUUAGGAGCUAUGACCUUGGGGCAAAUAGGGAUACGAUCCUAGAGGCGCAGGGGAGCGCGCAGCAUGAGUGCUGAGAGGCACGCGCCCUCUGCUGCACGGCCGUGGAAUAAAACGAGACAACGGCCCCACAGUCCCCUGCCCGCAGCCCACGCUCGGGCGAGCCUGGAGGAUUGCAUUUCCUCGUAGGCUGGCAGAGCCUUACAUGAAGCGCUCAUCUUCUCCUACUUUCCUCCUCUUUAAAAAAUUAACGUGGGAAACAUUUUCCUGGGCAUCUAAAAGUAUUGUGGACCUGAGACACUGUGCUUACAGGGCCUACUGGGUUGAUUCUAAAGAAGAAAGAAAAUCUAUAUGCAUGAAAAGAUGUCUUAAAAAGUUUUGAACUACUCAAAGUUAAGAUUUGGGGAAAUAGAAAUAGUAUAUAACUUAAGAAAAUUGCCACUGGCUGUGAACCCCCAUGGCAUUUUCUUUGCACUUUUUUGCUUCUCGUUAGAUUGUAUGUGUUUUUACCAUUUCACACAAACUUUUAAAGAUUAUUCCACGCCGUUAGCUCUGUGCUUCUAUUAGUGUCUCUAUCUCUCUUUCUCUCUCUCUUCCAUCUGAGUACAAUGGCUAGAAAAUAAUACACACUUGAAUGAAUAAAUGUCAUUUAAAUAUUUUAAUAAACAGAAGGAAUAGUACAAUAUAUUUCCCUUGACCAAUGUAUUGUGAUUGCUUUUUUCUUUCUUUUUUUUUAAAUCUUUUGCUGUCUUUGACCAAGCCAAAAGAGUUACAACCAAAUUCAAAAA
RNAcentral lists this long non-coding RNA (1210 nucleotides) under Homo sapiens (human). RNAcentral's name for it is "HSALNT0348142". Lineage: Eukaryota; Metazoa; Chordata; Mammalia; Primates; Hominidae. The record is from RNAcentral.